CACAAGCGGUGGUAUGAUGUGGUUUAAUUCGAUGCAACGCGAAAACCUUACCCACCUUUGACAUGGCAGGAAUCCUGAAGAGAUUUGGGAGUGCUCGAAAGAGAACCUGCACACAGGUGCUGCAUGGCUGUCGUCAGCUCGUGUCGUGAGAUGUUGGGUUAAGUCCCGCAACGAGCGCAACCCUUGCCAUUAGUUGCUACGAAAGGGCACUCUAAUGGGACUGCCGGUGACAAACCGGAGGAAGGUGGGGAUGACGUCAAGUCCUCAUGGCCCUUAUGGGUAGGGCUUCACACGUCAUACAAUGGUCGGUACAGAGGGUUGCCAACCCGCGAGGGGGAGCUAAUCCCACAAAGCCGAUCGUAGUCCGGACCGCAGUCUGCAACUCGACUGCGCGAAGUCGGAAUCGCUAGUAAUCGUGGAUCAGCAUGUCACGGUGAAUACGUUCCCGGGUCUU
This 454-nucleotide ribosomal RNA is filed under the name uncultured Allobrachymonas sp. RNAcentral's name for it is "bacterial SSU rRNA". It matches the Rfam family "Bacterial small subunit ribosomal RNA", at positions 924 to 1382 of the family's 1533-position model. The record is from RNAcentral. Lineage: Bacteria; Pseudomonadati; Pseudomonadota; Betaproteobacteria; Burkholderiales; Comamonadaceae.